GUCCAGACUCCUACGGGAGGCAGCAGUGGGGAAUAUUGCACAAUGGGGGAAACCCUGAUGCAGCGACGCCGCGUGAGCGAUGAAGUAUUUCGGUAUGUAAAGCUCUAUCAGCAGGGAAGAAGAUGACGGUACCUGACUAAGAAGCCCCGGCUAACUACGUGCCAGCAGCCGCGGUAAUACGUAGGGGGCAAGCGUUAUCCGGAUUUACUGGGUGUAAAGGGAGCGUAGACGGCGGCGCAAGCCAGAUGUGAAAGCCCGGGGCUCAACUCCGGGACUGCAUUUGGAACUGUGUGGCUGGAGUGUCGGAGAGGCAGGCGGAAUUCCUAGUGUAGCGGUGAAAUGCGUAGAUAUUAGGAGGAACACCAGUGGCGAAGGCGGCCUGCUGGGCUUUUACUGACGCUGAGGCUCGAAAGUGUGGGGAGCAAACAGGAUUAGAUACCCGCGUACU
Molecule: ribosomal RNA, 448 nt
Filed under: uncultured bacterium
Lineage: Bacteria
Description: bacterial SSU rRNA
Rfam family: Bacterial small subunit ribosomal RNA
Source: RNAcentral